This 505-nucleotide ribosomal RNA is filed under the name uncultured bacterium. Its description in RNAcentral is "partial 16S ribosomal RNA". It matches the Rfam family "Bacterial small subunit ribosomal RNA", at positions 28 to 507 of the family's 1533-position model. The record is from RNAcentral.
GACGAACGCUGGCGGCGUGCCUAAUACAUGCAAGUAGAACGCACAGUUUAUACCGUAGCUUGCUACACCAUAGACUGUGAGUUGCGAACGGGUGAGUAACGCGUAGGUAACCUGCCUGGUAGCGGGGGAUAACUAUUGGAAACGAUAGCUAAUACCGCAUAAUAUUAAUUAUUGCAUGAUAAUUAAUUGAAAGGUGCAAUUGCACCACUACCAGAUGGACCUGCGUUGUAUUAGCUAGUAGGUGAGGUAACGGCUCACCUAGGCGACGAUACAUAGCCGACCUGGGAGGGUGAUCGGCCACACUGGGACUGAGACACGGCCCAGACUCCUACGGGAGGCAGCAGUAGGGAAACUUCGGCAAUGGACGAAAGUCUGACCGAGCAACGCCGCGGGAGUGAAGAAGGUUUUCGGAUCGUAAAGCUCUGUUGUAAGAGAAGAACGGGUGUGAGAGUGGAAAGUUCACACUGUGACGGUAUCUUACCAGAAAGGGACGGCUAACUACGUG